Molecule: ribosomal RNA, 468 nt
Filed under: uncultured bacterium
Lineage: Bacteria
Description: partial 16S ribosomal RNA
Rfam family: Bacterial small subunit ribosomal RNA
Source: RNAcentral
GACGAACGCUGGCGGCGUGCUUAACACAUGCAAGUCGAACGGAAAGGCCCUGCUUUUGUGGGGUGCUCGAGUGGCGAACGGGUGAGUAACACGUGAGUAACCUGCCCUUGACGUUGGGAUAACUUCAGGAAACCGGGGCUAAUACCGGAUAGGAGCUCCUGCUGCAUUGUGGGGGGUGGAAAGUUUCGGCGGUUGGGGAUGGACUCGCGGCUUAUCAGCUUGUUGGUGGGGUAGUGGCUUACCAAGGCUUUGACGGGUAGCCGGCCUGAGAGGGUGACCGGCCACAUUGGGACUGAGAUACGGACCAGACUCCUACGGGAGGCAGCAGUGGGGAAUAUUGCACAAUGGGCGGAAGCCUGAUGCAGCAACGCCGCGUGCGGGAUGACGGCCUUCGGGUUGUAAACCGCUUUCGCCUGUGACGAAGCGUGAGUGACGGUAAUGGGUAAAGAAGCACCGGCUAACUACGUG